AAGUCGUAACAAGGUUUCCGUAGGUGAACCUGCGGAAGGAUCAUUGAGAAUUUGGAACUUGUGGGUUUCUUUCUUUUUUUCCUUGGCUGGAGGCGCUUCGGCGCGGAAGGUUGGGGGGAAGAGGGGAGGGGCUUGCAUUUUUCUUUGUGAACUGUUUUUUUUGGGUUCUGGGGGUACCAUUUUUUGGGUUCGGGGGCUUUUUUUGGGCUUUUGAUAUUGGGUACUUUGUAUUUUUUUAAAAAGUUUCAUUUAUGACAACUUUCAGCAAUGGAUCUCUAGGCUCUU
RNAcentral lists this unclassified non-coding RNA (285 nucleotides) under fungal sp. Its description in RNAcentral is "partial internal transcribed spacer region". The stretch from base 1 to 46 matches the Rfam family "Eukaryotic small subunit ribosomal RNA", at positions 1786 to 1831 of the family's 1831-position model. The record is from RNAcentral. RNAcentral also lists the same sequence under 1 other name. Lineage: Eukaryota; Fungi.